This 1809-nucleotide long non-coding RNA is filed under the name Homo sapiens (human). The record is from RNAcentral. Lineage: Eukaryota; Metazoa; Chordata; Mammalia; Primates; Hominidae.
GCUUCUGGCCCCUUUCUCUGGAGGAGCUCCGCGCGUGGCGAGUCUGUGUCCUCCCUGUCCCCCAGAGCAGAGAACCCUCUCUGUGUCUGGACGGGGGAGGAGCAGACGCUGGACAGGUUUUUGGCAAAAUGCUGGCAAUUCCCAGGAAGAUAUGUGGAGAACGGAAAGGUUGCUACACCCAAAUAGUGGCGCAAAGGCUAUGAUUAUGGAGGAUUGGACCUGCAAACUCCAGAACAGAGCAACCUUGUAAAAUGUGUGUGGGCAGCACAGAGACCUUGGGCAAGUUAACAGUUUCCUCAUCUGUAAAUACUGAUUUAUGGAAAGCACCUGGUGUAUGUUCUGCCCUCUGAGGACCCUGCCCUUUCCCAAAAGGGGUAUCUUAAGAAGGAAAAUAUGGCUGCUCUUUGCCGGACAGCAGAGUCCCAGGCUGAACUCCAGUGCACCCAGUUAGACUUGGAGCGGAAACUCAAGUUGAAUGAAAAUGCCAUCUCCAGGCUCCAGGCUAACCAAAAGUCUGUUCUGGUGUCGGUGUCAGAGGUCAAAGCAGUGGCUGAAAUGCAGUUUGGGGAACUCCUUGCUGCUGUGAGGAAGGCCCAGGCCAAUGUGAUGCUCUUCUUAGAGGAGAAGGAGCAAGCUGCGCUGAGCCAGGCCAACGGUAUCAAGGCCCACCUGGAGUACAGGAGUGCCGAGAUGGAGAAGAGUAAGCAGGAGCUGGAGACGAUGGCGGCCAUCAGCAACACUGUCCAGUUCUUGGAGGAGUACUGCAAGUUUAAGAACACUGAAGACAUCACCUUCCCUAGUGUUUACAUAGGGCUGAAGGAUAAACUCUCGGGCAUCCGCAAAGUUAUCACGGAAUCCACUGUACACUUAAUCCAGUUGCUGGAGAACUAUAAGAAAAAGCUCCAGGAGUUUUCCAAGGAAGAGGAGUAUGACAUCAGAACUCAAGUGUCUGCCAUUGUUCAGCGCAAAUAUUGGACUUCCAAACCUGAGCCCAGCACCAGGGAACAGUUCCUCCAAUAUGUGCAUGACAUCACGUUCGACCCGGACACAGCACACAAGUAUCUCCGGCUGCAGGAGGAGAACCGCAAGGUCACCAACACCACGCCCUGGGAGCAUCCCUACCCGGACCUCCCCAGCAGGUUCCUGCACUGGCGGCAGGUGCUGUCCCAGCAGAGUCUGUACCUGCACAGGUACUAUUUUGAGGUGGAGAUCUUCGGGGCAGGCACCUAUGUUGGCCUGACCUGCAAAGGCAUCGACCAGAAAGGGGAGGAGCGCAGCAGUUGCAUUUCCGGAAACAACUUCUCCUGGAGCCUCCAAUGGAACGGGAAGGAGUUCACGGCCUGGUACAGUGACAUGGAGACCCCACUCAAAGCUGGCCCUUUCUGGAGGCUCGGGGUCUAUAUUGACUUCCCAGGAGGGAUCCUUUCCUUCUAUGGCGUAGAGUAUGAUUCCAUGACUCUGGUUCACAAGUUUGCCUGCAAGUUUUCAGAACCAGUCUAUGCUGCCUUCUGGCUUUCCAAGAAGGAAAACGCCAUCCGGAUUGUAGAUCUGGGAGAGGAACCCGAGAAGCCAGCACCGUCCUUGGUGGGGACUGCUCCCUAGACUCCAGGAGCCAUAUCCCAGACCUUUGCCAGCUACAGUGAUGGGAUUUGCAUUUUAGGGUGAUUUGGGGGCAAAAAUAACUGCUGAUGGUAGCUGGCUUUUGAAAUCCUAUGGGGUCUCUGAAUGAAAACAUUCUCCAGCUGCUCUCUUUUGCUCCAUAUGGUGCUGUUCUCUAUGUGUUUGCAGUAAUUCUUUUUUUUUUUUUUU